Molecule: ribosomal RNA, 476 nt
Filed under: uncultured bacterium
Lineage: Bacteria
Description: partial 16S ribosomal RNA
Rfam family: Bacterial small subunit ribosomal RNA
Source: RNAcentral
AUGAACGCUGGCGGCGUGCCUCACCCAUGCAAGUCGCACGAAGCACCUUACCUGAUUCUUCGGAUGAAAGUUUGGUGACUGAGUGGCGGACGGGUGAGUAACGCGUGGGUAACCUGCCCUGUACAGGGGGAUAACAGCUGGAAACGGCUGCUAAUACCGCAUAAGCGCACGAGGAGACAUCUCCUUGUGUGAAAAACUCCGGUGGUACAGGAUGGGCCCGCGUCUGAUUAGCUGGUUGGCAGGGUAACGGCCUACCAAGGCAACGAUCAGUAGCCGGUCUGAGAGGAUGAACGGCCACAUUGGAACUGAGACACGGUCCAAACUCCUACGGGAGGCAGCAGUGGGGAAUAUUGCACAAUGGGGGAAACCCUGAUGCAGCAACGCCGCGUGAGUGAAGAAGUAUUUCGGUAUGUAAAGCUCUACCAGCAGGGAAGAUAAUGACGGUACCUGACUAAGAAGCUCCGGCUAAAUACGUG